CGAGCGGUAGAGAGAAGCUUGCUUCUCUUGAGAGCGGCGGACGGGUGAGUAAUGCCUAGGAAUCUGCCUGGUAGUGGGGGAUAACGUUCGGAAACGAACGCUAAUACCGCAUACGUCCUACGGGAGAAAGCAGGGGACCUUCGGGCCUUGCGCUAUCAGAUGAGCCUAGGUCGGAUUAGCUAGUUGGUGAGGUAAUGGCUCACCAAGGCGACGAUCCGUAACUGGUCUGAGAGGAUGAUCAGUCACACUGGAACUGAGACACGGUCCAGACUCCUACGGGAGGCAGCAGUGGGGAAUAUUGGACAAUGGGCGAAAGCCUGAUCCAGCCAUGCCGCGUGUGUGAAGAAGGUCUUCGGAUUGUAAAGCACUUUAAGUUGGGAGGAAGGGCAGUUACCUAAUACGUGAUUGUUUUGACGUUACCGACAGAAUAAGCACCGGCUAACUCUGUGCCAGCAGCCGCGGUAAUACAGAGGGUGCAAGCGUUAAUCGGAAUUACUGGGCGUAAAGCGCGCGUAGGUGGUUUGUUAAGUUGGAUGUGAAAUCCCCGGGCUCAACCUGGGAACUGCAUUCAAAACUGACUGACUAGAGUAUGGUAGAGGGUGGUGGAAUUUCCUGUGUAGCGG
This 623-nucleotide ribosomal RNA is filed under the name Pseudomonas extremorientalis. RNAcentral's name for it is "bacterial SSU rRNA". It matches the Rfam family "Bacterial small subunit ribosomal RNA", at positions 63 to 681 of the family's 1533-position model. Lineage: Bacteria; Pseudomonadati; Pseudomonadota; Gammaproteobacteria; Pseudomonadales; Pseudomonadaceae. The record is from RNAcentral.